GACGAACGCUGGCGGCGUGCUUAACACAUGCAAGUCGAACGGAAAGGCCCUGCUUUUGUGGGGUGCUCGAGUGGCGAACGGGUGAGUAACACGUGAGUAACCUGCCCUUGACUUUGGGAUAACUUCAGGAAACUGGGGCUAAUACCGGAUAGGAGCUCCUGCUGCAUGGUGGGGGUUGGAAAGUUUCGGCGGUUGGGGAUGGACUCGCGGCUUAUCAGCUUGUUGGUGGGGUAGUGGCUUACCAAGGCUUUGACGGGUAGCCGGCCUGAGAGGGUGACCGGCCACAUUGGGACUGAGAUACGGCCCAGACUCCUACGGGAGGCAGCAGUGGGGAGUAUUGCACAAUGGGCGGAAGCCUGAUGCAGCAGCGCCGCGUGCGGGAUGACGGCCUUCGGGUUGUGAACCGCUUUCGCCUGUGACGAAGCGGGAGUGACGGUAAUGGGUAAAGAAGCACCGGCUAACUACGUG
Molecule: ribosomal RNA, 468 nt
Filed under: uncultured bacterium
Lineage: Bacteria
Description: partial 16S ribosomal RNA
Rfam family: Bacterial small subunit ribosomal RNA
Source: RNAcentral